UACAGAGGGGGCAAGCGUUGUUCGGAAUUACUGGGCGUAAAGGGCGCGUAGGCGGCCUGUUAAGUCGAACGUGAAAUCCCUAGGCUCAACCUAGGAACUGCGUCCGAUACUGGCAGGCUUGAAUCCGGGAGAGGGAUGCGGAAUUCCAGGUGUAGCGGUGAAAUGCGUAGAUAUCUGGAGGAACACCGGUGGCGAAGGCGGCAUCCUGGACCGGCAUUGACGCUGAGGCGCGAAAGCCAGGGGAGCAAACGGG
This 253-nucleotide ribosomal RNA is filed under the name uncultured bacterium. RNAcentral describes it as "partial 16S ribosomal RNA". It matches the Rfam family "Bacterial small subunit ribosomal RNA", at positions 524 to 776 of the family's 1533-position model. The record is from RNAcentral.